This 200-nucleotide ribosomal RNA is filed under the name uncultured bacterium. Its description in RNAcentral is "partial 16S ribosomal RNA". It matches the Rfam family "Bacterial small subunit ribosomal RNA", at positions 29 to 228 of the family's 1533-position model. The record is from RNAcentral.
AGCGAACGCCGGCGGCAGGCCUAACACAUGCAAGUCGAGCGGCAGCACGGGUGCUUGUACCUGGUGGCGAGCGGCGGACGGGUGAGUAAUGCCUAGGAAUCUGCCUGGUAGUGGGGGAUAACGCUCGGAAACGGACGCUAAUACCGCAUACGUCCUACGGGAGAAAGCAGGGGACCUUCGGGCCUUGCGCUAUCAGAUGA